UCUCAGCUACUGAACUGUCUGUACGCUCACACUGGUGUGGAGCAAAUGGAAGAUACCUUUCUAAUACCAGGUGUCAGCAGAGAAGGCUGGUGGAUAAAAGGACUAGGAGGCGACGUCUUCAGGGAGCAGGACCUGGGCUGUGCUGCGGCGACUUUUCCGCACAUCUGGGAGUCCAGACGAGUCGGCCCUCAGUGACUCUGCUACAUUCACCACUGCUGGAUAAACGUAAAGCUCUUAAGAUGCAAGAACGGCCAACGGAGAGGCAGGUGUGUGGCCAAUGAACAG
Struthio camelus australis is the source of this 285-nucleotide long non-coding RNA. RefSeq lists it as uncharacterized. The record is from RefSeq and is a predicted model, not a curated record. NCBI's taxonomy places the organism in Eukaryota, Metazoa, Chordata, Aves, Struthioniformes, Struthionidae.